RNAcentral lists this ribosomal RNA (492 nucleotides) under uncultured bacterium. Its description in RNAcentral is "partial 16S ribosomal RNA". It matches the Rfam family "Bacterial small subunit ribosomal RNA", at positions 30 to 507 of the family's 1533-position model. The record is from RNAcentral.
AUUGAACGCUGGCGGCAGGCCUAACACAUGCAAGUCGAACGGCAACACGAUACAGCUUGCUGCUUAGCGGAGGCGAGUGGGGGGGGGGUGAGAUGUACAUCAAACUCUACUUUGUAGGGGGGUAACAAGUAGAAACGGUAACUAUAAUAGCGUAAAGUCCCAACGGGAAAAAGGAGGGGAUUUUGGCACCUUGCGAGAGUGUAUGAGCAGAUGUGGGAUUAGCUAGUUGGUGGGGUAAGGGCCCACCAAGGCGACGAUCCGUAGCUGGUCUGAGAGGAUGAUCAGCCACACUGGAACUGAGACACGGUCCAGACUCCUACGGGAGGCAGCAGUGGGGAAUAUUGCACAAUGGGCGCAAGCCUGAUGCAGCCAUGCCGCGUGUAUGAAGAAGGCCUUCGGGUUGUAAAGUACUUUUGGCGGGGAAGAGGAGAAGAAGGUUAAUACCUCUCUGUAUUGACGGUACCCGAAGAAGAAGCACCGGCUAACUCCGUG